UUUCCUGAGCAUCAGAGAUCCCCCUCCUGAUUAUUUUGCUCUGGAGGCAGCUCAUGUAAAGACAUACCAAGCUUGGUAUGGGCAAUUUCUGUUGCAGGAAGCAAUCACUACAACUUAACCAUUCACUCUGUUCAGACCUUAACUGGGCUGCACAGUGGUUUCCCUUUCAGGAGGGAUGAAGAGCUUGUCUCAACUGCUGACUGAUCACUCAGGAAGAAAAAUGGGAGCUAUGGAUCCAUGGAAAAUAUCCAGGUUGCUGAGCAUAGAACCUCUAUUGUUGAUGACUGGGCAUGAGCCGAUAGGAUUCUUUUCUAGACAGCAUGAGAAAGAAAGAGUGGCAGCAGCUAACUGUGUUCAAUGAGUGGCCUGGCCUGGCUUGACCUCCUGGGGAUUUCCUGUUUCCACCUGGAAAGCUAUUCUAUUUUGGGAUUAAGCGCCAGAUUAAAAAAAAUACUCAUAACUGCCAUGGUAACGUACCUGAAAUAAAUUGUAUACUUGUCAACGGAAAUUCUCCUUUUUUGCUGUAAAGUACAAGCCUGAUAUUGAGCUGGGCUGGAAUGAGGAGCAAGUCAUGCUGGGUCCAGCCGCCAGUGUCACUGGCUCCACACUAAUCCCUUUUUCAGUACUGAACACCAGCGUU
Phascolarctos cinereus (koala) is the source of this 640-nucleotide non-coding RNA. Lineage: Eukaryota; Metazoa; Chordata; Mammalia; Diprotodontia; Phascolarctidae. The record is from RefSeq and is a predicted model, not a curated record.